Molecule: ribosomal RNA, 253 nt
Filed under: uncultured bacterium
Lineage: Bacteria
Description: partial 16S ribosomal RNA
Rfam family: Bacterial small subunit ribosomal RNA
Source: RNAcentral
UACGAAGGGUGCUAGCGUUGUUCGGAAUCACUGGGCGUAAAGCGUGCGCAGGCGGCUAUUCAAGUCAGGGGUGAAAUGCCUGGGCUCAACCCAGGAACUGCCUUUGAAACUGUAUAGCUAGAGUCUCGGAGGGGUUAGGGGAAUUCCUAAUGUAGAGGUGAAAUUCGUAGAUAUUAGGAGGAACACCGGUGGCGAAGGCGGCUAUCUGGCACACAACUGACGCUGAGGCGCGAAAGCGUGGGGAUCAAACAGG